UGGGGAAUAUUGGGCAAUGGGACGCAAGUCUGACCCAGCAACGCCGCGUGAAGGAAGAAGGCUUUCGGGUUGUAAACUUCUUUGACAGGGGAAGAGCAGAAGACGGUACCCUGAAAACAAGCCACGGCUAACUACGUGCCAGCAGCCGCGGUAAUACGUAGGUGGCAAGCGUUGUCCGGAUUUACUGGGUGUAAAGGGCGUGCAGCCGGGUCGGCAAGUCAGAUGUGAAAUCCCCAGGCUUAACUUGGGAACUGCAUUUGAAACUGCUGAUCUUGAGUAUCGGAGAGGUAAUCGGAAUUCCUAGUGUAGCGGUGAAAUGCGUAGAUAUUAGG
Molecule: ribosomal RNA, 332 nt
Filed under: uncultured Oscillibacter sp.
Lineage: Bacteria; Bacillati; Bacillota; Clostridia; Eubacteriales; Oscillospiraceae
Description: bacterial SSU rRNA
Rfam family: Bacterial small subunit ribosomal RNA
Source: RNAcentral